UUCAACUCCUCUGCUGCUGGCUGUUUUUGUUACUUGGCCUUUUAUGCCGGCUGCUGCAGACAGGAAGAGGAGCAUGAGGGCGGGGAGGCUGGAGCCAAAGGAUGAGGUAGAUGUCCCCCUCCCCACCCCACCCGUGCCCCCAGACCAAGCAUCAGGGGUGAGUCAGAGGCCAUCAGCCACCCCCGACCACCUCCCAUCCACCACCCCCAGUCUGGGCUGCUCGCCUUGGGAGCGCUGCUUUGCCUGGAGAGACAGCCCUGCCUGAGGCUUGAAUGACACACAAAUCCUCCCUCCCCAAGCCUCGGUCAGUACCGGGUCUGCUUGGCCUUCUGUGAUCCCCCACAGGCCCAGGCCUGGCUCUCCCUUGUGCUGUGGGUUCGGGGAGACUGGGAGUGACCAGGCAAGGUCAGGGCUUCGGAUCAGGGUGUUAAUUUUCUGCCGGUAGGCUGCCAUGCCGAAUCACCACAACCUUGGUGACUUAAAACCACAGCGUUUAUUUCCUCACAGCCCUGGCAGCCAGAAGCCUGGGAUCCGGGUGUGGGCCGGCCACGCUCUCCCAGGUUUCCUGCUCCUCCAGCUCCAGGAGCUCCCAGGCACUCCCUGGUGUGGGGCCUCGUCCCUCCAGCCUCUGCCUUUGUGCUCCUGUUUCUCUUCCUCUGUCUGUCUCUAGCCUGCGCUGCCUCUUUCUUAGGAGGCAUUUGGAGCCCCCUGGAUAAUCCAGAUGAGGGCUGCCUCUCUGAAGACCCCUGAACUAAUCACAGCGCUCACUGAGUGAGGUGACAUGAGGUUUGGGUCCAGGAUCAGCAAGUGAUGAUGCCUUUGGGGUCAUCCUUCUGGGCAGCCCCCUGGGGAGCUUUUCCUCCCCGGUCACUUGUGGGAUAAUUAGGGACUGGGGAGCCCUUGGUGAGCCUGUGUCCGUGGGCACGGGGACAGGAAGAAGGCGGCUUUCUGAGGGUGUCUGUGGUCCAUGUUGCCGCUGCUCUAGGGAGGACAGGCCCAGCGGAGCAGCUGAUGGACUAAAAACUGGCCAUCUUUGAUCAGAGGGAUCGUGGAUUUUUGCAACUUUCCUGGCCAGACUUCGUCAAGGCCCUGCCGGCCUGCUGGACACUGAUUGAUCAAAGAUUGAUCAAACAGCUCCUCCCCUCACUGAGGGCAGAUGCUUGCUUCAAGGAUCAAACAGCCCGGCUCUGCCAGGCACCGCCCAGCAGCAGAAGGUUGUGCUUCAAGUCUGCACAGCCCUCCAACUUUGGAUGUUUCUUAGACCACCGGGGAUGCAAGUCUUCUAGUCCUUUCUAUUCAGACCAGCACUGACGGUGAAGGAGCUGAGGCCAGGGUUGGCCAUGUGGAGGCGUAGGGAGAUGGAACAUCGGGGACGCACUGCUUCUCUCCUGCUCACGUAGAACUUGAGGACAGAGGCUCUGUCUGGCAUCUGAAGACCCAGCAAAGCCCAGCUCUGCCAGCAGCUUGCCAGGACCUGAGAAAGCCCCUCUCUCCCCGGGCCUCAGUUUCCCCAGAUGUACGUGGAGGGAUUGGCCUAAAUGAGCUCAGCGGAUCUCAUGGCCCCGAUCCUGGCAGGUUGGUGACUGGCUGCCCUGUCCCCAGCCCUGUGGGGGUUCAAGGUGUGAGCCUUGUGGUGGGGGUACACAGGGUCCCCCAAAUUCAUGUAUAUCCAGAGCCUCAGAAUGAGACCUUAUUUGGAAACAGAGUAUUUGCGGAUACAAUUAGGUAAGGACCUCUAGCUAGAAGCAUCCUGGAUUUCGGGUGGGCCCCAAAUCCAAUGACUGCUGGAGAGGACGCCAGAGCCACAGGGAGAAGCGGCCACGUGGAGACGGAGGCAGAGGCUGGAGUGAAGUGGCCAAAAGCCAGGGCGCGCCUGGGCCACCAGAAGCCGGACGAGUACAGGAAGGUCCUCCCCUAGAGGCUUUGGGAGAGCCAUGGCCCUGAUGAUGACACCUUGGGUGUGGACUGCCGGCCCCCAGAAUUGUGGAGAUACGUUUCUGUUGUUUUCAGCCACACAGUUUGUGGUGCUUCGCUCCAGCAGCCACGGAACAUGGAUCUGAGCCCCGAGAGAUUCCUGGAUGUGGGAGACCCACCCUCUGUCCUUGGUGGUUGGUGAGGGCUGCAGGAUUGGGGCUUCUGAUGUUAUUGUCCUGGGGACAGACUCCCUGGGCAGGAUCACGGAGGGGGCAGACUGAGCUGGGACAAGGGGCAUUCGGGCCUCGGGCAGUGGGGCAGGCCCUAGAGUGGCAGCCAGUCAUCACAGUGAUUUCCCUGAACGGGCAAUGUUCCUUUCCAGGCUUAGUGCCCUGGCGGCCUCGGGGAAGUGGAGAAAAGAGAGGGGCACCAGGGUUACGAUUCUCAGCUUACUGAGGUCUGAUGUGAAUGGCAUGCAAGCCUCUGGCCAGGACCGGCCAGUGCCACCUUCUGAGCAUGUUCUGAGUGUUGACUCUGCGCCGGGCACGGGAGAUGAGGCUCCGGCUCUGUGGAGCUGCAUCCGGCUGGGGAGAGAUGGACAAGAGAGAGCAAACACCCCCGUGCCGGGCUUCACAUGUUGAGCCCAGGAGCAGAUGGUGUGACCUGGGCAAAGGGCUCAGAAGAAGGCCCCACCGGGCACCCCCGAGUGUCCCCAGAGCCUCUGUGUGUUCUGGGCACUGUUCCCAGAGCUGCCCUGAGCCAACCGCACAGUCACCACACCUACCUUUGGAGCAGGCAUUUGGCAGACAAGCAGGCAGAGCCCAGGGUUAGAACAAGCACUGCUCCGGCAGGAGGCAAGGGGACCCAGGCUGGCCCGAGCGCGUCCUCCCACCUGCCUCUUUGCCAGCUGCUGCCAAGCUUCGGAAACGAUCCUGGAAUUCAGCUCCGUCAGGGCUUUGCCUGGAUGGGCCAUGGUCUAGUGAGCAUUCAUAUUAAUAGUACUCAUUAAUAUUAAUCAGACCAAAUGUGAUGCAUGUCAUUUUGUUCUCACAACCACCCCAGGUACCACCUGUGACUCAGAUUAGGAGACCAAGGCUCAGAGAAGCCGAGCAGCCUGCCUGCCUCACGCGGGGCGGGGAGUGGGGGCAGUGCCAGAGUCCAAAGUCUGACCAUGUGGUCCAAAGCUCUGGCUGUCACCUGGACACGGCGCUGUCACCUGGACAUGACGCUGUCCCGAAGGCGCAGAGGCGACAGCGCCCGCACCCCACGCUCGAGCUUCAGAGACGCUUUGCUCACUUCACACUGCCAGAGGCGCAAGAGCCCGGGGCGAAGACCCGCUGGUGAGCAGGGACCACGGCGCCUGGCCCGCUGGGCUGGGUGUCGGUGCUCCCCAAAGCUCCGGGCAGACCAUCCAUCACCCGCCGGGAGGCCAGCCGAGCCGCACGGUGCCGCUCGCUGGCUGGGGGCUCGCAGCCAGGCAGCAGAACAGGGGACUCAGGAACCCGGCAAAAAGAACCUCCAGUCAGGGAAAGAUUGCUUCCUGACAGCUAAUAGCCCUUUCUGAAACCAAAAAAGUGUUUCCCCUUUAUUCCAGCACAGGAGAAAUGGUGAGACAUGCUGGCAGAAUUAUAGCAACUUUUUAGCUCCCGGAGGGAAGAAAAAGCCCCAUUGCUAUGAAAUAAAACCGCACUCAGCCCCGAUCCUCGGUGAGUCACGACUCGGGAAGCGGGAGCUGAAACCCCCACCACGCACAGGGGCCCCAGGCUUCCCCAGCAGAGCUGCCCGCCAGGCGGGGUCUAGACAGGGUGGUGGAUGGCAGUCGCCCACUGCCCUAGGCCCAUUGGAGUCAGAGUGCAGCUAUAGCCAAGAAGUAGCUGCUGAGUCCGUCCCGGAGACCGGCCUGGGGAGGGGAGCCCAUGAUCUGUUUGCCCAGAUGCUGAGGCAUGAUCCAGAGCACUGCCUGUCCGGCUGGUGCUGCACACAUUUGGGCUGCUAGGAGACAGGGUGGAGAGGCAGCUGGAGCCAGAAUGCAGUGUGCAAACGGAACGUUGUGCCACCUAAACGCUGAGCCACAUGGGUGGCGGGAAGGGAGACCCACAGGUGCAGGGGUCUGCAUCACUGUCCAGGCUUGGACCCUGGUGAAAGAAGGUGCCUGGUUUUGCUGGAGCAACAGGAAGUGAACAGGGGCCUUGCCGGAAGCUGUGCCCACGGGCUCUGACCUUUGGGAGGGGUCGCAGCUCCCAGAUUCCCAGGCUGUCUCAGGAGGUCCUGCGGAGGUUGAGACUGGCAUUGGGGAUCCCAAAGAUGAAUGUCUGUGGGUGCGGGGAGCGCAGUUUUGGGUUGCGAACAGGGGCUCCCUUAUCAGAGGUGGGCCACGAACACUCAGCCCAGAGUGGCUGGAAAAAGUCAUCUGGGAAGGCUCACCGGCUGUCUCUGGAGGGAGUGAGCCGUGCGUCACUACAGGUAUUCAAAUGAACACAGCGAUUGCAGUGGAUUGUAUACAAGUUAUAGGAAGGGAGAGCUGCAGGGGACCUCAGGGAUCGUUCCGUCUGAUGCUGUUUCCUCUGAGGAGGAAUUGCCCCAAGACCCCAGCUCAGUGCUGCAGGGUCAUGGCUAAGAUGCCGGCAUCCAGACCUGCAGCCCAGGGGCCUUCCACAGGCCCCUCCCGCCCUUCUACAGUGCUGUCUGGGCUGCCAGGGCGGGCAUGGGGGCUGCCCUGGUCCCCCUCGUGCACUUUUGGGCUGGUCUGCUGACCAUAGACGGGCCUCGGGUCCCCAAAAAGCCCCCAAGAUCAUCUCUCCGGAGACUAUGUUUCUGACAGCAGCUGAAAGCUCACAACUUUCACUGGACACCUGCUGCCUGUCAGGCUGGAACCAGGCCCCUUGCUCUGCUAUCUCAGUCUCCUUCCAAGGCAGGAAGAAAUGGAAACUCAGAGAGCCCAGGGCCAUCCCCAGGGCAAGCCGCGGGGCUGGGAUUUCCUCUGGGUCCCGACUGACGCUGGCGCAGCUUGAGUCCUCCACACUCAUCACCAACUGCCAGCUUCUGACGUCCAAGGGAAGAGACAGUAGCCAGCAGGCAGAGACAGCAGAGGUUGCAAGGGCCCCGGGGCAGGGGCACAGAUGGCAUGUGGGGCAAGGUGAGAGGCGAGGGGAGUGGUGCCCUGAGACCUGCACAGGGGUUACCAGGUUAGAGUCAGGAGUGAUUCACGCAGGGCCAAGGUUGAGCAAAUGAAUGAAUGAACGGCCAGGAUGCAGGGGACAGCGGAGAGGCUGGAAAGGAGGCGAGGGCUGGGAAGUGGACAGCCGUGAGCAGCGGAUGAGGGUGGAGCCUGGGCAUGCUCUGGAGGAGGAGGUGGGAAGUCACACAGGCUGCCCUGAGGCUGCGGGGAAGGGGACAUGCUCAGGCUAUGCUUCAGGGAGGGUCCUGCCUGGGUGGCCUUGGAGGGGACAGUGAGGAGGACAAUGAAGAAAGGCCACCGGGCACUAGUCUGGUGGUCAGAAGAGCCUCAGCCAAGGUGUGGCAGAGGCGCCAGCGAGGUGGUGUGAAGGCAGGCCGGGGGCCUGGGGUCGGGGAGCAGGCAGCAGGAGUGUGGAGGGCAGAUUGGCCCAGGACACACACCAGACAUUGGGGGUUCAGAAGGGGCACUCAGGGUGGGAAGCAACCUCUCCCAACCCCUCACGUUAAUCUCCACGCUUUUCCUCUAAGUACCAAACUUCCCUGCAAAGGCCCCAGCAGCCCUGGCAGGCUCUUCCUCGCCUGUGGCUGCCCGAUGGCUCCUCCUGCAGGCCUGGGCUUGCUGGGGUUGCAGGGUCAGGGGAACCAUCCCGGCGUAUCUCAAACCUGUGCAGCUUCAUGGCGCGUGCCAGGAGAAGCUCUGUAAAAUUCACGGGCUGGCUCCUCUUGGAGCAUCAGGAGAAGCAAACAGAGAGACAGGCCUGGCAUUGAAACUACCAGCAGACAUCGCUCAUCUCCCACAAAGGUGCAGACGGCAGCUGUCACGAUGCAGAGAGCAAUGGGCGAUUUGUCAGUGGGAACCAGAAUGAACUUAGAUUUGUUCUUGAGAAUCAUCUCACCCAGAGCCCUCAGGAUGGUUGGCUCUUGGCCGGCUCAAACUCAGGGGCGGGGCAGCCACAGGCCAUGGCCCGCACCCUGCCAGGAAGCCUAAGGUUUCCUCGUUUAUCAGUCCACAAGGUGCUCAGCCCCUGCAGAUGGAUUUGGCUGCGGCUAAUGUAUCUGCUGCACUCUUGGUUGAGUGGAUCUCCCGAUUUCCAAGUGAAUUGCAACCUGUUAUUUUUAUAAUGUGGAAAAAAGCCCACCCUGGGCUUAGCGGCCUUUACAUCCCCUCCCCCAGCCUGCUGGUCCUUUCCUUCUGACCUGGUUGGGGGCCUGCUGCCUGGUGGCAGGCUGGGCUCUCCUUCAGGAGAGCAUCCAAUCAUCUCCACGCAGAUGCUGCCCCGGAGAGAGCCAUAGAAGGCGUUAAAGCAGAGAUUCAGCGCCGACUUGUCACGCUUGAAAAUAAAAUGGACCAGAAUGAUCUCAUGCUGGAAACUUUAUGAAACAAGCUCUUCCCCGCCAGGGUUUAUUGGGCACCUCCCGUGCGCCAGGCGGUGUCUCAUCCUCACAGCCUCUCCCAGGCCUGGCGACUGCUGCCCCUAUUUCAGCAAGAAGAAUGUGGAGGCUGAUGCCUUGUCCAUAGCUGGAUGGUAGCCAGGGAAGAGUGGGCCUGGCCUCAGCCCUGUAGACACCCAACUCUGAGGUCCUUUUACUAGGCUGAUGGAGGUUUAGAAGAGAUGACCUUGAACACCCUUGAGGUCAUGAAAUAAAGGGAGGGAUCUAGAAAGCCGAAGAAAAGGAGAACCACUCCAAGGACCCCGGAAGCUUUAAAAUGGACCCUCCGAGGCAUGGCCAAAGGAUUUUAUUUCACAUGCUUUCUUCAAGUCUCGUGAAUACGCCGUCAAUACUCCAGCUAACUAACCUUUCUGAAUCACACCAGUUCCCAGUCGCCCAUGAGGAUGAAGGCCUUGGGAAUAGUCGGACAUUGGGAUGGAGCAGAGAUGGACAUUGGGAGUGAUUUUCAGCAGAGGGGUGGUCUGGGGGCUCCUGCCGGACGGACAAGCGGCUCCCCACUCUGGGGCCCCACGUUGCCAGGUGGGGGUGGUUGACUGGAGGCCGCUCUGACAGCCUGAGCCUGGCUUUAUAUUUAGGUUGAGUAGGUGGCUGCCUACUUGGUGUGAUUUCACAGGCUCUUGAGGGCCUCUUCCAAACCCCAAAAUACCUCCUCCACCUGCUUCCUGGUGCUGGAACUUCUCUGAUAAGAGAACAGCUUCCUGUUCCUAAGUUAGAAAGAAAGCUGGCUUGCCCCUUUGUGUUGGAGCCAGCACUGAUCUAAGUGAGCUCCCCAGCGAGCAGCAGGUGCAACAUAGUUUUGGGGGCUGAGAAGGCCACUUAAGGCCUUGUCCAGAAAGGCAUUGCAGAGUCCCCUCCUGGUCCUCUGUGUCUCCAGGGAAUGUGUAGGAACUCAUGGCAGUUGAUCCUUGACCUUUGCAGAACCAGGCUGUCUCCCAAAUGCAAGGUUUGAUGCAUCCCUGCCUCUAAUGAUGCUGCCUUCCAGCCUGAGAGGCCAAGGACACUGACAGUUUUAUACCUACACCAUCACACAUCAGGACACGCUGAGAGAGGAAAGAAGAAUGUGCCACAAGGCAUGGCCUAUCAGAUGAGGGCAUUCGAGCUGAGGCUUUGUUGGGUGAAUAGGAGUUCACUAGACAAGUAAUAAGAGAGAGGUUUCCACGCGGUGGGAACAGUGUGUGGGAUGGCUCAGGCAGGAAGGGGCUGGCACGUUAAAGGGCACCAUGGAAGCAAAGGGGCCCAGGCAUUGAGGGGGGAAAGCUGGGAGACGGGGCAGAGAGAGGCAGACAGGAGCCAACCUGUACUCACAGUGGGGCCACACCCAGCAGCACGGCAGUUAAUGACACCGGGCGCCUGUCAGGGAUGCGCUCAAGGCCCCACCCAGGGCCCAAGCUCCAGGAGAUCCCAAGGUAGAUGGCCUGCUCUGAGAGCUUGAGAGCUGCCACCAGGUUGGGCAGAAAACUGGGCCUUCCAGCCUGGGUGAGGGGGUCCGCUUGCUGAACAGUCACGUGCCUGAGCUCUGGGGACAUGGCAGGCCCAGCUCCGAUCGGCUUUCCUCACCCUUCAGGGCCCGCAGGCCAGGGGGGCUCAGCUCCCAGGGUGGUCAGUGCUCAGCAGAGGAUCUGUACUUGUACUCUGAUUAUACCUGAGAGCAUUUCAAGGACAAGGGACACACCUUUGGCCUCUCUGUAUCCUUCAGAGAACCUGACACAGUUCUGGGCUCAACAGACACAACGAGGAUGGAUUGCAGUGCAGAAGCAACCCAGGCCCUGCACCCGCGAGGCCGCCUGCCGACCUGCUUCCUCGCAUCCCCGUCACCUGUUUUGCUUUUAAAAAUAUGUUUCAGAUCAUUAGGGCAAAAAUGUUCAAAGCAGAGUAAAAACUCAUUAGUUCAGACCCGGUUAUUCGGGAAUCUAGAAUACCACGUUCUGAGCAUCCGGUUUAAUGAACACAUUUACGAGGUAAAAAAUUGAGAGUUCUUAGUUUUCUUGAACCAGCUACUGAUUCCACCUGCUAACCUUUUGGGGUAAAAGACUGUGGUUUUACUGGAAAACAUGUUCUCAUGGCAAAGGAUUGCUGACUGCCUUCUGAGGCACUCACGUGAUCCGCUAAGGUGCGAUCAGAGGCUGCAACUGUUCAGAGCUGCCCUGGGCUCCCGUGUGGGACCUCAGACUGUGCUGUUUCCCUGCAGUGGCCUCUGCUUAUGGGCAUCGUUAGAGAAAACAUUAACCUGACAGUUGUUAAAACGGCAAGGAAUUGGGAGGCCGAGGCUGUUGGAUCACCUGAGGUCAGAAGUUCGAGACCAGCCUGGCUAACAUGGUGAAACCCUGUCUCUACUAAAAAUACAAAAAAAUUAGCCAGGCAUGGUGGUGCAUGCCUAUAAUCCCAGCUACCUGGGAGGCUGAGGCAGGAGAAUUGCUUGAACCCGGGUGGCAGAGGUUGCACUGAGCCAGGAUUGCAAUAUCGCACUCCAGCUUGAGUGACAGAGCGAGACUCCGUCUCAAAAAAAAAAAAAAAAAAAAAAAAAAGGGAGAGGGGGCAAGGAAGACUUUAUUCAGGACUAUUGCAAUAGGUGUCAAAACAAUCACAGUGGGAGAGAGAAAUCAGGCUCAACUCUCAAUGCCACAGGGCAGCUGGGAUUUGCAGGCAUUGAGUGGAGCGAGGGUCGGGGUGGAAAGUUAUGAAGAGCCAAGUUAGACACCAAAGCCCAGGGGUUAUUGCUACAGGCAGUUCAAGGACUUUGAUAUCCAGGAUGGGGGAUGAGGAGCUUGGGCCAACAACCAGGUUGAGGGCUUAGCCCAGGAGGGUUCUUGACCUCAGAUAUCAAGGGUGGGGGGACUUUUGCUAAGCAAACCUAGCAGGAGUUUUGCUAAAACCAGACUAUGUGGCCAAAGAUGAGGCCCAUGAGUGAGGCCUCAAAAAGUAGGCUCAGGGGAGGCUGGCUGAGGUUUGGUUAGGGAGCGGGGGUCUUUGUCCUUGUGUCCUGGGAAGCUGGGAGGAAGCGUGAAACACGUAAUGGGUUGCAGUCCUGGGGAGGGCUCCAAAAUAAUCAGCAGGUGGUGGGGGGCCCAGCGGCCACAGCUGCAGGCCGUGGAGCUGGAGAUCUGGGUAGAAGCCAGUUCUGCCAUCCACCAUGUGAGUCCCCUCUAGUCUCAGGCCCUUGUCUAUGGAGUGGGGACAAGAAUCCCAUCCUCAGGAAACUGGGGAAAAGCUUGGCACUGCAGAGGGCAAACAAUAUACUUCAUUUACCUUUAAUAUUAUUACACAAGCAGUGAACGCACACAUUUUUAUUCUGAAAUAUUCAAGCAAAUGUCUAUAGAAUAAAAUUUGGACGUCUCUUUGC
This is a long non-coding RNA of Homo sapiens (human), 9883 nucleotides long. RefSeq lists it as uncharacterized. NCBI's taxonomy places the organism in Eukaryota, Metazoa, Chordata, Mammalia, Primates, Hominidae. The record is from RefSeq and is a predicted model, not a curated record. The transcript has 2 exons.